Molecule: ribosomal RNA, 496 nt
Filed under: uncultured bacterium
Lineage: Bacteria
Description: partial 16S ribosomal RNA
Rfam family: Bacterial small subunit ribosomal RNA
Source: RNAcentral
GAUGAACGCUGGCGGCGUGCCUAAUACAUGCAAGUCGAGCGAACAGACGAGGAGCUUGCUCCUCUGACGUUAGCGGCGGACGGGUGAGUAACACGUGGAUAACCUACCUAUAAGACUGGGAUAACUUCGGGAAACCGGAGCUAAUACCGGAUAAUAUAUUGAACCGCAUGGUUCAAUAGUGAAAGACGGUUUUGCUGUCACUUAUAGAUGGAUCCGCGCCGCAUUAGCUAGUUGGUAAGGUAACGGCUUACCAAGGCAACGAUGCGUAGCCGACCUGAGAGGGUGAUCGGCCACACUGGAACUGAGACACGGUCCAGACUCCUACGGGAGGCAGCAGUAGGGAAUCUUCCGCAAUGGGCGAAAGCCUGGCGGAGCAACGCCGCGUGAGUGAUGAAGGCCUUCGGAUCGUAAAACUCUGUUAUUAGGGAAGAACAAAUGUGUAAGUAACUAUGCACGUCUUGACGGUACCUAAUCAGAAAGCCACGGCUAACUACGU